This is a long non-coding RNA of Uranotaenia lowii, 596 nucleotides long. RefSeq lists it as uncharacterized. The record is from RefSeq and is a predicted model, not a curated record. The transcript is spliced from 3 exons. NCBI's taxonomy places the organism in Eukaryota, Metazoa, Arthropoda, Insecta, Diptera, Culicidae.
AGUGAGUCGGCUAGCGAGCGAGCGAGUCGAGUAGCGUGUGUGAUUCUCCCGGUAGUUCGUGAACAGUAGACUCUCUGGUUCUACUUCCGGGCUUCGGAGCUCCGGACCGGUCUGCACAUUUGGCGACCGUGACCGGUAAUUUCUUGUUAACCUUUUAAAACGAGAAAUUAUAAAAAAAAAAAAGUCGAACCGUAAAAGAGAAAUUUUUUCUCGAUCACACAAACGCCAUUUUUUCUUAGAAUUGGUUCGUGGUUUGCGCCUUCGAAACCAGCAAAUCUAGACAUUUCCGCUAUCAUUCUGGCCGGAUAAGGAUCACAAUUUACCUAUACGGUAAUGCUGAUACUGACAAAAAAGCGAAGUUCCCCAGUGGCAGCACAAAAUGGCUUAUGGACAGGAUAGACUUCAAAGACAAACCCGAAUCGAACGGAUUGGUGGCCAUCUAGUACCGGAAGAUGGCAAAAAAAAUUAUCCGUAUCCCAGGGACUGGUGUGAAGAAGGGGCUAAAAAGUCACCGGUGUUGUGUUUUAGUGCAUGUAGAAAAUUUAGCAUGUGAAAAGUGAGUUCUUUGAAAACAAUCCAAAAAUUUAAAUAAAAAA